AUAUAACUAAGCGGAGGAAAAGAAACUAACAAGGAUUCCCUCAGUAACGGCGAGUGAAGCGGGAAGAGCUCAGACUGAAAAUCUUCGGAAUUGUAGUCUGGAGAAGUUAAGUCAGUGUGGAUCACUGGGCAAAGUCUUCUGGAAAGAAGUACCAUGGAGGGUGACAGUCCCGUUCAUGCCUGGUGGGAAGCACGUACGACUGACUUUCGACGAGUCGAGUUGCUUGGGAUUGCAGCUCUAAGCGGGUGGUAAAUUCCAUCUAAAGCUAAAUAUCGGUGGGAGACCGAUAGCAAACAAGUACCGUGAGGGAAAGAUGAAAAGAACUUUGAAAAGAGAGUUAAAAAGUACCUGAAAUUGCUGAAAAGGAACCGAUAGGAGGCAGUGUUGGCAGACGAUUAUCUUUUAUUCUCCGCUUGCGGGGGGUGCGCGUAGUUGUUUGCAAGUCAGGCUUUCUUGGGUAAGUGGGAGAGGUCUUGUCUUCGUGAGGAGACGGGGGUGCCGCCACUUUUGCCCGAGAGACUUUGACGAAAUGCCUCUUAUCAU
Molecule: ribosomal RNA, 543 nt
Filed under: uncultured fungus
Lineage: Eukaryota; Fungi
Description: eukaryotic LSU rRNA
Rfam family: Eukaryotic large subunit ribosomal RNA
Source: RNAcentral